RNAcentral lists this ribosomal RNA (254 nucleotides) under uncultured bacterium. RNAcentral describes it as "partial 16S ribosomal RNA". It matches the Rfam family "Bacterial small subunit ribosomal RNA", at positions 524 to 776 of the family's 1533-position model. The record is from RNAcentral.
UACGUAGGGCGCAAGCGUUGUCCGGAAUUAUUGGGCGUAAAGAGCUCGUAGGCGGCUUGUCACGUCUGCUGUGAAAUCCCGGGGCUCAACCCCGGGCGUGCAGUGGAUACGGGCUGGCUAGAGGCAGGCAGGGGGAGAACGGAAUUCCCGGUGUAGCGGUGAAAUGCGCAGAUAUCGGGAGGAACACCGGUGGCGAAGGCGGUUCUCUGGACCUGUACUGACGCUGAGGAGCGAAAGCGUGGGGAGCGAACAGG